RNAcentral lists this ribosomal RNA (1372 nucleotides) under uncultured bacterium. RNAcentral describes it as "bacterial SSU rRNA". It matches the Rfam family "Bacterial small subunit ribosomal RNA", at positions 28 to 1381 of the family's 1533-position model. The record is from RNAcentral.
GAUGAACGCUGGCGGCGUGCCUAAUACAUGCAAGUCGAGCGAACGGACGAGAAGCUUGCUUCUCUGAUGUUAGCGGCGGACGGGUGAGUAACACGUGGAUAACCUACCUAUAAGACUGGGAUAACUUCGGGAAACCGGAGCUAAUACCGGAUAAUAUUUUGAACCGCAUGGUUCAAAAGUGAAAGACGGUCUUGCUGUCACUUAUAGAUGGAUCCGCGCUGCAUUAGCUAGUUGGUAAGGUAACGGCUUACCAAGGCAACGAUGCAUAGCCGACCUGAGAGGGUGAUCGGCCACACUGGAACCGAGACACGGUCCAGACUCCUACGGGAGACAGCAGUAGGGAAUCUUCCGCAAUGGGCGAAAGCCUGACGGAGCAACGCCGCGUGAGUGAUGAAGGUCUUCGGAUCGUAAAACUCUGUUAUUAGGGAAGAACAUAUGUGUAAGUAACUGUGCACAUCUUGACGGUACCUAAUCAGAAAGCCACGGCUAACUACGUGCCAGCAGCCGCGGUAAUACGUAGGUGGCAAGCGUUAUCCGGAAUUAUUGGGCGUAAAGCGCGCGUAGGCGGUUUUUUAAGUCUGAUGUGAAAGCCCACGGCUCAACCGUGGAGGGUCAUUGGAAACUGGAAAACUUGAGUGCAGAAGAGGAAAGUGGAAUUCCAUGUGUAGCGGUGAAAUGCGCAGAGAUAUGGAGGAACACCAGUGGCGAAGGCGACUUUCUGGUCUGUAACUGACGCUGAUGUGCGAAAGCGUGGGGAUCAAACAGGAUUAGAUACCCUGGUAGUCCACGCCGUAAACGAUGAGUGCUAAGUGUUAGGGGGUUUCCGCCCCUUAGUGCUGCAGCUAACGCAUUAAGCACUCCGCCUGGGGAGUACGACCGCAAGGUUGAAACUCAAAGGAAUUGACGGGGACCCGCACAAGCGGUGGAGCAUGUGGUUUAAUUCGAAGCAACGCGAAGAACCUUACCAAAUCUUGACAUCCUUUGACAACUCUAGAGAUAGAGCCUUCCCCUUCGGGGGACAAAGUGACAGGUGGUGCAUGGUUGUCGUCAGCUCGUGUCGUGAGAUGUUGGGUUAAGUCCCGCAACGAGCGCAACCCUUAAGCUUAGUUGCCAUCAUUAAGCUGGGCACUCUAAGUUGACUGCCGGUGACAAACCGGAGGAAGGUGGGGAUGACGUCAAAUCAUCAUGCCCCUUAUGAUUUGGGCUACACACGUGCUACAAUGGACAAUACAAAGGGCAGCGAAACCGCGAGGUCAAGCAAAUCCCAUAAAGUUGUUCUCAGUUCGGAUUGUAGUCUGCAACUCGACUAUAUGAAGCUGGAAUCGCGAGUAAUCGUAGAUCAGCAUGCUACGGUGAAUACGUUCCCGGGUCU